GGGUUGUAAACUUCUUUUAUAUUAGAAUAAAGUGCAGUAUGUAUACUGUUUUGUAUGUAUAAUAUGAAUAAGGAUCGGCUAACUCCGUGCCAGCAGCCGCGGUAAUAUGGAGGAUCCGAGCGUUAUCCGGAUUUAUUGGGUUUAAAGGGAGCGUAGGUGGGCUGGUAAGUCAGUUGUGAAAGUUUGCGGCUCAACCGUAAAAUUGCAGUUGAUACUGUCAGUCUUGAGUACAGUAGAGGUGGGCGGAAUUCGUGGUGUAGCGGUGAAAUGCUUAGAUAUCACGAAGAACUCCGAUUGCGAAGGCAGCUCACUGGACUGCAACUGACACUGAUGCUCGAAAGUGUGGGUAUCAAACAGGAUUAGAUACCCUGGUAGUCCACACAGUAAA
RNAcentral lists this ribosomal RNA (388 nucleotides) under uncultured bacterium. Its description in RNAcentral is "bacterial SSU rRNA". It matches the Rfam family "Bacterial small subunit ribosomal RNA", at positions 420 to 806 of the family's 1533-position model. The record is from RNAcentral.